UACGGAGGGAGCUAGCGUUGUUCGGAUUCACUGGGCGUAAAGGGUGCGUAGGCGGUCGGGUAAGUCUGAUGUGAAAUCUCGCAGCUUAACUGCGAAACUGCAUUGGAUACUAUCCGGCUCGAGGAAUGGAGGGGAGACUGGAAUACUUGGUGUAGCAGUGAAAUGCGUAGAUAUCAAGUGGAACACCAGUGGCGAAGGCGAGUCUCUGGACAUUUCCUGACGCUGAGGCACGAAAGCCAGGGGAGCAAACGGG
This 253-nucleotide ribosomal RNA is filed under the name uncultured bacterium. RNAcentral's name for it is "partial 16S ribosomal RNA". It matches the Rfam family "Bacterial small subunit ribosomal RNA", at positions 524 to 776 of the family's 1533-position model. The record is from RNAcentral.